This 431-nucleotide ribosomal RNA is filed under the name uncultured bacterium. RNAcentral describes it as "partial 16S ribosomal RNA". It matches the Rfam family "Bacterial small subunit ribosomal RNA", at positions 29 to 507 of the family's 1533-position model. The record is from RNAcentral.
AACGAACGCUGGCGGCAGGCUUAACACAUGCAAGUCGAACGCCCCGCAAGGGGAGUGGCCGCCGGGUGAGUAACGCGUGGGAACAUACCCUUUUCUACGGAAUAGCUCUGGGAAACUGGAAUUAAUACCGUAUACGCCCUACGGGGGAAAGAUUUAUCGGGGAAGGAUUGGCCCGCGUUGGAUUAGCUAGUUGGUGGGGUAAAGGCCUACCAAGGCGACGAUCCAUAGCUGGUCUGAGAGGGUGAUCAGCCACAUUGGGACUGAGACACGGCCCAAACUCCUACGGGAGGCAGCAGUGGGGAAUAUUGGACAAUGGGCGCAAGCCUGAUCCAGCCAUGCCGCGUGAGUGAUGAAGGCCUUAGGGUUGUAAAGCUCUUUCACCGAUGAAGAUAAUGACGGUAGUCGGAGAAGAAGCCCCGGCUAACUUCGUG